UGCGGAAAUUUUCUAUUUGCCAACAACAUGGGGCCAGCUUAGAGGACGAGGCUCCACGGGCCAACUGCGGCAUCGGACAAGCGAGAGGGGUACGCUCCCAAGCUCCCGCCAUGGCCUCCACUGGCGAGCACACCGUGUCUCUGCUUGCGCGCCUUCCCACCCAGCCCAGUGGUGGGAGUGCAGUGGUGCUCCCGUCAGCGCGGGUUGAAUCGAUGGGGCGACUCUGCACGACUCACUCCGCAGCAGCCGCCUGACUCGCCCCGCGGCAGUAGCUGGCACCCGAGCGAUGCUUGUUCGCUACUGCAGAAGUCCCGCCACAAACCUAUUUUGUAUGCUCUUCUCUUUCUCUCUCCAUUGUCCAAAUGGCGGAUAUUUGAUGAAUAUGGUCGGACGUCGUGAGUGACAGUGGAUAUUUAAUAAUGAUGUUUGUUUUGA
Molecule: non-coding RNA, 435 nt
Organism: Aegilops tauschii subsp. strangulata
Lineage: Eukaryota; Viridiplantae; Streptophyta; Magnoliopsida; Poales; Poaceae
Source: RefSeq, a predicted model, not a curated record